RNAcentral lists this ribosomal RNA (301 nucleotides) under uncultured bacterium. RNAcentral's name for it is "partial 16S ribosomal RNA". It matches the Rfam family "Bacterial small subunit ribosomal RNA", at positions 509 to 807 of the family's 1533-position model. The record is from RNAcentral.
CAGUCGCCGCGGGAAAACGGAGGGGGCUAGCGUUGUUCGGAAUUACUGGGCGUAAAGCGCACGUAGGCUGCUUUGUAAGUUAGAGGUGAAAGCCUGGUGCUCAACACCAGAACUGCCUUUAAGACUGCAGAGCUAGAACGUCGGAGAGGUGAGUGGAAUUCCGAGUGUAGAGGUGAAAUUCGUAGAUAUUCGGAAGAACACCAGUGGCGAAGGCGGCUCACUGGACGACUGUUGACGCUGAGGUGCGAAAGCGUGGGGAGCAAACAGGAUUAGAUACCCGAGUAGUCCCUGUCUCUUAUAC